RNAcentral lists this ribosomal RNA (301 nucleotides) under uncultured bacterium. RNAcentral's name for it is "partial 16S ribosomal RNA". It matches the Rfam family "Bacterial small subunit ribosomal RNA", at positions 509 to 807 of the family's 1533-position model. The record is from RNAcentral.
CAGUCGCCGCGGGAAUACGUAGGUGGCAAGCGUUGCCCGGAAUUAUUGGGCGUAAAGGGCUCGCAGGCGGUUUCUUAAGUCUGAUGUGAAAGCCCCCGGCUCAACCGGGGAGGGUCAUUGGAAACUGGGAAACUUGAGUGCAGAAGAGGAGAGUGGAAUUCCACGUGUAGCGGUGAAAUGCGUAGAGAUGUGGAGGAACACCAGUGGCGAAGGCGACUCUCUGGUCUGUAACUGACGCUGAGGAGCGAAAGCGUGGGGAGCGAACAGGAUUAGAUACCCCAGUAGUCCCUGUCUCUUAUAC